CCAGGCUGGAGUACAGUGGUGCCAUCUCCACUCACUGCAACCUCUGUCUCCUGGGUUCAAGCGAUUCUCCUGCCUCAGCCUCCCCAGUAGCAGGGAUUACAGGCACAAACCACCACACCUGGCUAACUUUUGUAUUUUUAGUAGAGAUGAUGUUGCCCAGGCUGGACUAGAAAUACUGACCUCAAGUGAUCCGCCUGCCUCAGCCUCCCAAAGUGCUGGGAUUACAGGCGUGAGCCACCACGCCCAGCCCAAACUAGUCAUUUUUAAAGAUACCAUCAGGUCAGGUGUCAUGGCUCACCUCUGUAAUCCCAGCACUUUGGGAGGCCAAGGCAGGAGGAUUGCUUGAGGCCAAGACUUCAAGACCAGCCUGGACAACAUAGUGAGACCUUGGGUCUAUUUUUUUUAAUUUUUAAAAGAAGAAAAAAGAAAAAAAAAGAUACCAUCAAAAAACUGAUACUAGGGGAAAAUAUUUGAAAACAUAUUGACAAAGGAUUUGAACCAAGAAUACAUAAAGAGGCUGGGCGCAGUGGCUCAUGCUUGUAAUCCCAGCACUUUGGGAGGCUGAGGUGGGCAAAUCAUUUGAGGUCAGCAGUUCGAGACCAGCUUGGCCAACAUGGUAAAACCCCGUCUCUACUAAAAAUACAAAAAUUAGCUGGACAUGGUGGUGUGCACCUGUAAUCCCAGCUACUCAGGAGGUUGAGGCAGGAGAAUCACUUGAACCCGGGAGGCAGAGGUUGCAGUGAGGCCAGAUCACACCACUGCGCUCUAGCCUGGGUGACAGAGCGAGACUCCAUCUCAAAAAAAAAAAAAAAAGAAAAAGAAAAGAAAAGAAAACAUAAAGAGAACACAUUCCAGUCUCUCUCCUCCAUUGCAAGAAAGGCUCCUUUGCAGUGGUCAAAAAAAUAAAGGAUAUGUAAAGAACUUUUACAACUCAAUAAGAAGACAAUCCAGAGGAAAAAAGAUGAAAGUCGGGGCCAAAAGAAAGACUUUUCACUGAAACAAAAAACCUCCAAAAAAAGGUUUCAGAUGUGGGCUACCUACUCCAUGCCAGGCACUGUGCUAAGUACCUUUGACACAAUAUAGGCAUACCUCAGAGAUAUCACAGGUUUGGUUCCAGAUCACCACAAUGAAGAGAAUAUUGCAAUAAAGUGAGUGACACAAAUUUUUUGGUUUCCCAGUGCAAAUAAAAGUUAUAUUUACUCUAUACUGCAGUCUAUUAAGUGAAAGCAAUGUACAUACCUUAAUUUCAUUAUAUUUAUAUUUUUUAAAUAUAUCGAGAUAGGGUUUCACUCUAUCACCCUCGCUAGAGUGCAAUGAAACUGUAGCUCAC
This 1330-nucleotide long non-coding RNA is filed under the name Homo sapiens (human). Its description in RNAcentral is "HSALNT0266455". Lineage: Eukaryota; Metazoa; Chordata; Mammalia; Primates; Hominidae. The record is from RNAcentral.